CCAAAAAUCUAGCUUACCCCACCCCCCUCCUCCCACUACAAAAUAAAAUAUUCUAAUAUCAUAGUAGAGAAGAUCAAAAUUUUUAUUUAAGCUAUAAACAUGUACCGCAAGGGAAAGAUGAAAUAAAAAUGAAAUAAAUCUCAAGCACAAAAAAGUAGAGACUCCCCCUCGUACCUUUUGCAUCAUGAUUUAGCUAGUCUAAUUGGGCAAAAAGACCUUUAAGUCCAACCCCCCGAAACUAAGUGAGCUAAUUUAGGGCCGCUUAAUGAGCCAACCCGUCUAUGUUACAAAAUAGUGGAAAGACCCUAAAUUAGGGGUGACAGACCUAACGAACUUAGUUAUAGCUGGUUUCUCAAGAAAAGAAUCUUAGUUCCGCCUAAAGCAACACAAAUCCAAAAAAUAACCCAACCCCUUUAGAGUAAUUUAAAUAAGGUACAGCCUAUUUAAUACAGGAUCCAACCUUCACUUACGGGUAAGAUUUUUCCACUAUCACCCUCAAGUAGGCCUAACAGCAGCCACCUUUACAUAAGCGUCAAAGCUUAAUAAUGAUAAUUUAAAUCCCCCAAUCUUAUAUUGACCCCUAUAACCGUACUGAGAACUUCUAUAUUCCUAUAGAAAUUUUUAUGCUAAAACUAGUAACAAGAGGACAAACCUCUCUUAAGUGUAAACAUAAGACAGAAAGAACCACUCACUGACAAUUAACAGACCUACACAGAAGUUAACAACUACCCAAGAAAACCUUACUUCCCCAACUGUUAACCUAACACCAGAACACUUCAAGAAAGAUUAAAAGAAAAAGAAGGAACUCGGCAAAUACUAAUUCCGCCUGUUUACCAAAAACAUCGCCUCUUGCAACUAUAAGAGGUCCAGCCUGCCCAGUGACCCAGUUCAACGGCCGCGGUAUCCUAACCGUGCGAAGGUAGCGUAAUCACUUGUUUUCUAAAUAAAAACUAGUAUGAAAGGCAUCACGAGAAUUAAACUGUCUCCCUUUUCUAAUCAGUAAACCUAAUCUCCCCGUGAAGAAGCGGGGAUUAUCUAAUAAGACGAGAAGACCCUAUGGAGCUUUAAACAUACUAAUCAUAUGACCUACUUUAUCACACCCAGGUGCACAUACUCACACAUAAUGAUCAUAUGUUUUCGGUUGGGGUGACCGCGGAGAAUAAACCAUCCUCCGCGAUGAUAAGGGCCCCCCCCCAAACAACAAGCCACAGCUUUAUGUAUCAACAAAUUGACACCAUUGACCCAAUAUAUUGAUUAACGAACCAAGUUACCCUAGGGAUCACAGCGCAAUCCACUUCAAGAGUCCCUAUCGACAAGUGGGCUUACGACCUCGAUGUUGGAUCAGGGUAUCCUAGUGGGGCAGCCCCUACUAAAGGUUCGUUUGUUCAACGAUUAAAACCCUACGUGAUCUGAGUUCAGACCGGAGCAAUCCAGGUCAGUUUCUAUCUAUUCUAAGGCUUUUUUUAGUACGAAAGGACCAAAAA
This 1484-nucleotide ribosomal RNA is filed under the name Pristimantis bipunctatus. RNAcentral's name for it is "partial 16S ribosomal RNA". It matches the Rfam family "Bacterial large subunit ribosomal RNA", at positions 379 to 2698 of the family's 2925-position model. The record is from RNAcentral. Lineage: Eukaryota; Metazoa; Chordata; Amphibia; Anura; Strabomantidae.